AGCAGCCGCGGUAAUUCCAGCUCCAAUAGCGUAUAUUAAAGUUGUUGCAGUUAAAAAGCUCGUAGUUGAAUUUCGGGAUCAAUAUGUCGGUCGUGCCUUCGGUACGUACUGGCAUCAUUGAUUUCUCCCUUCUGACGAACCACGAUGUCAUUAAUUUGGUGUCAUGGGGAGUCAGGACUGUUAACUUUGAAAAAAUUAGAGUGUUUAAAGCAGGCUCACGCUUGAAUACAUUAGCAUGGAAUAAUGAAAUAGGACGUUUGACCCUAUUUUGUUGGUUUCUAGGAUCAGCGUAAUGAUUAAUAGGGAUAGUUGGGGGCAUUAGUAUUCAAUUGUCAGAGGUGAAAUUCUUGGAUUUAUUGAAGACUAACUACUGCGAAAGCAUUUGCCAAGGAUGUUUUCAUUAAUCAAGAACGAAAGUUAGGGGAUCGAAGACGAUCAGAUACCGUCGUAGUCUUAACCAUAAACUAUGCCGACUAGGGAUCGGAUGAUGUUAAUUUUUAAUGACUCAUUC
Molecule: ribosomal RNA, 511 nt
Filed under: uncultured Glomus
Lineage: Eukaryota; Fungi; Glomeromycota; Glomeromycetes; Glomerales; Glomeraceae
Description: SSU rRNA
Rfam family: Eukaryotic small subunit ribosomal RNA
Source: RNAcentral